This 133-nucleotide small nucleolar RNA is filed under the name Sinocyclocheilus grahami. Its description in RNAcentral is "Small nucleolar RNA SNORA57 (ENSSGRG00000030849.1)". It matches the Rfam family "Small nucleolar RNA SNORA57". Rfam says of the family: U99 belongs to the H/ACA class of snoRNAs which are thought to guide the sites of modification of uridines to pseudouridines, the target for this family is unknown. The record is from Rfam by way of RNAcentral. Lineage: Eukaryota; Metazoa; Chordata; Actinopteri; Cypriniformes; Cyprinidae.
CCUCCUUCUUGGCGUACUCGCGGUUGCUGUGUACCCCUGUAUGUAUGUAGGGAGGAAUAACAGAGCCAGCGCAAUGUCUUCGGUGCCAGCAUGCUCCCAUCGGCUGGUUCUAUCCUCAAGCGCUGGAACACGU